AGAGUUUGAUCAUGGCUCAGGAUGAACGCUGGCGGUAUGCUUAACACAUGCAAGUCGAACGAAAGUUAAAUUUUUAACUUUAGUGGCGAACGGGUGCGUAAUACGUGAGAAUCUGCCCUUAGGAGAAGAAUAACUGCUGGAAACGGCUGCUAAAUCUUCAUAUGUCGAGAGAUGAAAUAGCUUAGGCUGCCUAAGGAUGAGCUCGCGCCUGAUUAGCUAGUUGGUAAGGUAACGGCUUACCAAGGCCACGAUCAGUAGCUGGUUUGAGAGAACGAUCAGCCACACUGGGACUGAGACACGGCCCAGACUCCUCCGGGAGGCAGCAGUGAGGAAUUUUCCGCAAUGGGCGAAAGCCUGACGGAGCAAUACCGCGUGAGGGAUGAAGGAUUUUGGUCUGUAAACCUCUUUUCUCAAGAAAGAAGUCCUGACGGUACUUGAAGAAUAAGCAUCGGCUAACUCCGUGCCAGCAGCCGCGGUAAUACGGGGGAUGCAAGCGUUAUCCGGAAUCAUUGGGCGUAAAGCGCCUGUAGGUUGUUUAAUAAGUCUGUUGUUAAAGACUAGGGCUUAACCCUAGAAAAGCAAUGGAAACUACUAGACUAGAGUAUGGCAGGGGUAGAGGGAAUUUCUAGUGUAGCGGUGAAAUGCGUAGAUAUUAGAAAGAACACCAGUGGCGAAGGCGCUCUACUGGACCAUUACUGACACUCAGAGGCGAAAGCUAGGGUAGCAAAAGGGAUUAGAUACCCCUGUAGUCCUAGCCGUAAACGAUGGAUACUAGAUGUUGUGUUUUAUAUACAGUAUCGUAGCUAACGCGUUAAGUAUCCCGCCUGGGGAGUACGCUCGCAAGGGUGAAACUCAAAGGAAUUGACGGGGGCCCGCACAAGCGG
RNAcentral lists this ribosomal RNA (884 nucleotides) under uncultured bacterium. RNAcentral's name for it is "bacterial SSU rRNA". It matches the Rfam family "Bacterial small subunit ribosomal RNA", at positions 8 to 932 of the family's 1533-position model. The record is from RNAcentral.